AUCUACGGUCAUGGCACCCUGAACAAGCCCCAUGUCUGAUCCUGGAAGCUAAGCAGGGUCGUGCCUGAUUAGUACUUGGAUGGGAGACCAACUAGGAAGACCAGGUGCUGUAGGCA
Molecule: ribosomal RNA, 116 nt
Filed under: Pteropus alecto (black flying fox)
Lineage: Eukaryota; Metazoa; Chordata; Mammalia; Chiroptera; Pteropodidae
Source: RNAcentral